CCUACGGGAGGCAGCAGUGAGGAAUAUUGGUCAAUGGACGAGAGUCUGAACCAGCCAAGUAGCGUGAAGGAUGCCUGCCCUAUGGGUUGUAAACUUCUUUUAUAUGGGAAUAAAAUGUUCCACGUGUGGGAUUUUGUAUGUACCAUAUGAAUAAGGAUCGGCUAACUCCGUGCCAGCAGCCGCGGUAAUACGGAGGAUCCGAGCGUUAUCCGGAUUUAUUGGGUUUAAAGGGAGCGUAGGUGGAUUGUUAAGUCAGUUGUGAAAGUUUGCGGCUCAACCGUAAAAUUGCAGUUGAAACUGGCAGUCUUGAGUACAGUAGAGGUGGGCGGAAUUCGUGGUGUAGCGGUGAAAUGCUUAGAUAUCACGAAGAACUCCGAUUGCGAAGGCAGUUCACUGGACUGCAACUGACACUGAGGCUCGAAAGUGUGGGUAUCAAACAGGAUUAGAUACCCCAGUAGUC
RNAcentral lists this ribosomal RNA (460 nucleotides) under uncultured bacterium. Its description in RNAcentral is "partial 16S ribosomal RNA". It matches the Rfam family "Bacterial small subunit ribosomal RNA", at positions 338 to 795 of the family's 1533-position model. The record is from RNAcentral.